UACGAAGGGGGCUAGCGUUGUUCGGAAUUACUGGGCGUAAAGCGCGCGUAGGCGGACCUGCAAGUCGGGGGUGAAAGCCCGAGGCUCAACCUCGGAACUGCCUUCGAUACUGCGGGUCUCGAGUCCGGGAGAGGUGAGUGGAAUUCCUAGUGUAGAGGUGAAAUUCGUAGAUAUUAGGAAGAACACCAGUGGCGAAGGCGGCUCACUGGCCCGGUACUGACGCUGAGGCGCGAAAGCGUGGGGAGCAAACAGG
RNAcentral lists this ribosomal RNA (253 nucleotides) under uncultured bacterium. RNAcentral describes it as "partial 16S ribosomal RNA". It matches the Rfam family "Bacterial small subunit ribosomal RNA", at positions 524 to 776 of the family's 1533-position model. The record is from RNAcentral.